Molecule: ribosomal RNA, 575 nt
Filed under: Staphylococcus aureus
Lineage: Bacteria; Bacillati; Bacillota; Bacilli; Caryophanales; Staphylococcaceae
Description: partial 23S ribosomal RNA
Rfam family: Bacterial large subunit ribosomal RNA
Source: RNAcentral
UCUAGAUAGAAAAUAGGUGCCCGUACCGCAAACCGACACAGGUAGUCAAGAUGAGAAUUCUAAGGUGAGCGAGCGAACUCUCGUUAAGGAACUCGGCAAAAUGACCCCGUAACUUCGGGAGAAGGGGUGCUCUUUAGGGUUAACGCCCAGAAGAGCCGCAGUGAAUAGGCCCAAGCGACUGUUUAUCAAAAACACAGGUCUCUGCUAAACCGUAAGGUGAUGUAUAGGGGCUGACGCCUGCCCGGUGCUGGAAGGUUAAGAGGAGUGGUUAGCUUCUGCGAAGCUACGAAUCGAAGCCCCAGUAAACGGCGGCCGUAACUAUAACGGUCCUAAGGUAGCGAAAUUCCUUGUCGGGUAAGUUCCGACCCGCACGAAAGGCGUAACGAUUUGGGCACUGUCUCAACGAGAGACUCGGUGAAAUCAUAGUACCUGUGAAGAUGCAGGUUACCCGCGACAGGACGGAAAGACCCCGUGGAGCUUUACUGUAGCCUGAUAUUGAAAUUCGGCACAGCUUGUACAGGAUAGGUAGGAGCCUUUGAAACGUGAGCGCUAGCUUACGUGGAGGCGCUGGUGGG